AAUACAUGCAAGUCGAACGCUUUUUCUUUCACCGGAGCUUGCUCCACCGAAAGAAAAGGAGUGGCGAACGGGUGAGUAACACGUGGGUAACCUGCCCAUCAGAAGGGGAUAACACUUGGAAACAGGUGCUAAUACCGUAUAACAGUAGAAACCGCAUGGUUUCUAUUUGAAAGGCGCUUUUGCGUCACUGAUGGAUGGACCCGCGGUGCAUUAGCUAGUUGGUGAGGUAACGGCUCACCAAGGCAACGAUGCAUAGCCGACCUGAGAGGGUGAUCGGCCACAUUGGGACUGAGACACGGCCCAAACUCCUACGGGAGGCAGCAGUAGGGAAUCUUCGGCAAUGGACGAAAGUCUGACCGAGCAACGCCGCGUGAGUGAAGAAGGUUUUCGGAUCGUAAAACUCUGUUGUUAGAGAAGAACAAGGAUGAGAAUAAAACGUUCAUCCCUUGACGGUAUCUAACCAGAAAGCCACGGCUAACUACGUGCCAGCAGCCGCGGUAAUACGUAGGUGGCAAGCGUUGUCCGGAUUUAUUGGGCGUAAAGCGAGCGCAGGCGGUUUCUUAAGUCUGAUGUGAAAGCCCCCGGCUCAACCGGGGAGGGUCAUUGGAAACUGGGAAACUUGAGUGCAGAAGAGGAGAGUGGAAUUCCAUGUGUAGCGGUGAAAUGCGUAGAUAUAUGGAGGAACACCAGUGGCGAAGGCGGCUCUCUGGUCUGUAACUGACGCUG
RNAcentral lists this ribosomal RNA (726 nucleotides) under Enterococcus sp. RNAcentral describes it as "bacterial SSU rRNA". It matches the Rfam family "Bacterial small subunit ribosomal RNA", at positions 50 to 748 of the family's 1533-position model. Lineage: Bacteria; Bacillati; Bacillota; Bacilli; Lactobacillales; Enterococcaceae. The record is from RNAcentral.